Triticum aestivum (bread wheat) is the source of this 115-nucleotide non-coding RNA. The record is from Rfam. Lineage: Eukaryota; Viridiplantae; Streptophyta; Magnoliopsida; Poales; Poaceae.
CAAGUACUCCCUCCGUUCGGAAUUACUUGUCACAGAAAUGGAUGUAUCUAGAUGUAUUUUAGUUUUAGAUACAUCCAUAUUCGAGACAAGUAAUUCCGAACGAAGGGGGUAUAUG